This 591-nucleotide ribosomal RNA is filed under the name Triticum aestivum (bread wheat). RNAcentral describes it as "partial small subunit ribosomal RNA". The record is from RNAcentral. Lineage: Eukaryota; Viridiplantae; Streptophyta; Magnoliopsida; Poales; Poaceae.
AUGUGCAUUUCAAAAAAGCAAGGAGGCAUGGGUUUCAGAGAUACCCACUAUUUCAACCUCGCACUGUUAGCUAAACAGGCAUGUCAAUUGAUUGACAACCCUGGCUCAUUAUGUGUUGUAGUUCUUAAGGCCAAAUAUUUUCCCGAGGGAGAUUUGAUGGGUGCUACUUUGAAGAGGAAAGCAUCAUACACAUGGCAAAGUAUUAUGGCAGUGGUGGAUACGUUAUAGAGAGGCUAUAUUUAGAGAAUCGGUGAUGGUGAGAGCGUUAACAUAAGGAAUGACCCCAGGAUUCCCCAAUCACCCUCCAAAAAUCUAACUAUUCAUGGAAAUAAUCUCUUGUCUCGUGUAUGUGACCUCAUAGAUCCUGUAUCAGGAGAUUGGGAUGAACAAUUGGUGAGACAAACGUUUUGGCCAGUUGAUGCUCAUAGAAUUUUGGCUAUACCCUUCCUUUACAUGAUGACAGACUUCGUGGCAUGGAACCCCUCGAGAAUCCGGAUCUUUACGAUACGUUUGGCCUUAGUGGCGGAGCCAGGAAAUUCGGAUGAGGAGGGCCAAGUAUUGUUAAGUCUUGUUAGAGAGGGCCAUUCAUGA